RNAcentral lists this microRNA precursor (630 nucleotides) under Neodiprion lecontei (redheaded pine sawfly). The stretch from base 131 to 201 matches the Rfam family "mir-10 microRNA precursor family". The record is from RNAcentral. Lineage: Eukaryota; Metazoa; Arthropoda; Insecta; Hymenoptera; Diprionidae.
UUCAGCGAUUCGUUAUACUGGGCCAACUGAGAAACAUAUUACCAUAGAAAUUAACGAUGUUCGGUUACGUAGAAGAUGGCGAACCCAUUGCAGCGAGCAAUUUUGUAAUUUAGAAGGCCCAGUUAAUGCUCUACAUCUACCCUGUAGAUCCGAAUUUGUUUGAUAACAGGCGACAAAUUCGGUUCUAGAGAGGUUUGUGUGGUGCAUACAAUGCUACAGUGGUCUGGAUCGAGUUACCUUUGUACAACUACCUGCGAUUUAUUAUCUUACUGCAUGACUGCUAAACACUGUAAAUCCAACUAUAUAAGGCAAUCGACAAUGUACAUCAGUUUCUGCAAUUUUACAUCCGGUGAGUUUUAUCGGAUACUGCAAAUGAGAAGCUUCAGGCAACGGUUGAUGCAAAAUAAGUGCACAUCGGAAUAUUAUACUGAUGACGUUGCUCGAUUUUCAGGAUACUCUGUGUUCCUUUUUCGUGAGAUGAGAAUCUUAGAAUUCGUUGUUUGUCUACUGAUUUUUAAUAACGCUUGCCAAAAGCAAAUUCUUCUUGUUCGCUCUAAUCUGAGCAGCGCGUUAAGAAUGACUACAAUUAGUUAACUCGGCGUUGAAUGUAUAAUUUAUAAAUCAUGUGCA